UACGUAGGGGGCUAGCGUUGUCCGGAAUCAUUGGGCGUAAAGCGCGUGUAGGCGGUCCGGUAAGUCCGCUGUGAAAGUCGGGGGCUCAACCCUCGGAUGCCGGUGGAUACUGUCGGGCUUGAGUACGGAAGAGGCGAGUGGAAUUCCUGGUGUAGCGGUGAAAUGCGCAGAUAUCAGGAGGAACACCAAUUGCGAAGGCAGCUCGCUGGGACGUUACUGACGCUGAGGAGCGAAAGCGUGGGGAGCGAACGGG
RNAcentral lists this ribosomal RNA (253 nucleotides) under uncultured bacterium. RNAcentral describes it as "partial 16S ribosomal RNA". It matches the Rfam family "Bacterial small subunit ribosomal RNA", at positions 524 to 776 of the family's 1533-position model. The record is from RNAcentral.